RNAcentral lists this long non-coding RNA (308 nucleotides) under Vigna radiata. RNAcentral's name for it is "long non-coding RNA (VRAD_LNC005634)". The record is from RNAcentral. Lineage: Eukaryota; Viridiplantae; Streptophyta; Magnoliopsida; Fabales; Fabaceae.
GGGUGGACAAAUGAAACUGUAUACUGAACUAAAAAUUAGUUUGUUUAAAUUGAACUAAACUAUAAAAUAGUUUAGAGAAACUGAAUUGAACUGUUUUUUAUUUUAUCAAACUGAAUUGAAUUGUAUUAUACUAAAUUGUACUAAACUACAAUAUAAACUGAACUGAACUACUGAACUGAACUAUGCUAAAUUGUACUAAACUAUAAUAUAAACUGAGCUAAACUAUACUAACUGAAUUGUAAACUGCACUAAUUUUAUAAACUGAUUUUUUAUAUUUUCACUUAAACUUAAGAUUUCCACUCAUGAAU